CUCAUAGGUCUUUGCCAACUUGAUGGUAACUACUAACAUGUUCUAGGUGGCAGAAAGCAUCUUGCUUGAUACAGCAAUUUGUUACUGUACAACGCGAAGCCUAUGGUGACAGGGAAGGACUAGCUCAAGAAAAGUCCUAAUAUCCUUGUUCGGGUGGCUUAGAACCUCAUGUGAUAAUGAAGUGUUUCCGAUUGAUCACUAUAGACCUGAUAGUAAGGUGGCUAUGUGAGAGCUGAUGAUAAACUCCACUGAUUUAAGGGGGGUGAGGAAGAGGAUCUCUACGUGUUUGGAGCCUGAUCCCUAUCCCACUCAACAGAUACAAACAAAAUAUAUGAGGUUUUCUCAGAAAAGGAUAGAUGUGGUCACAUCUCUCUCUGCUUCACCUCCACAUUAAGCAAUUGUGCAGCAAGUCUUUCUGGAGCAUCGCUAACCCAUAGAACAUGAGCAACAACAGCCACAAUCUAGUUAAUUUUACCUAUAAAGGUAAUGUUGCCUGAGAGUGCUGGACCAUGUGGCAGUUGACAGGCAGUGCCGCCUUACUAAGUGCAGUCUGUCUUUAUGGUGGUUAUUUCUGUGCUGAACUGCUAGAGUGGAAUAUUUUUAUUUACUGGGAAGAAGCUGUGGUUACUUAUGAGAAAACAGUGGCUGUGUGCAUCUUUAUCAUCAAAUCCUUUGGUUUAUACAUCUUGCUCCUGGCUUGGAAUUUAGUAUUUUAGCAUCUUCUGAAUUUGCAUGUUACAUUAAUUGGGCAAGAAGUCCUGUGUCUAAGCAAUGGUGUAUUUAGGAAUAACGGAAGAAUACCCAGGAUCCUACUGUAUUUUAUAACUGGGAGGAGUAACAUGUCCACAGGUGGGAAGCAAGAAUGGGCAAGGCUAGUUUUGACAGCAUACAAUGGAAUUGCUUCCUCCAUCUUAAUUUUUCAGACCUGUCAUAAACAGCAGUGAAUAUGCUCUUUAAGAAGAAAAAGAAGAAGAAAACUGGGAUUACCAGCUACCAUGGCUUUCUGAAACAUCUCUGUACAUGUUAUUGGUGAUCUCCAUAAGUUAUGUGCUCUGUGGGAUAGUAUGAAAGCUGGUUAGGAAACCAUCUUGCAUUUGGUUAUUAAUCUGUGGCAUUGGUUUAGCCUUUGGAUAUGUAGAAAAGGGUUAGAAAUAAAGAGAUGAAUAAGUGAGAUAAAAUGAUAUGAUGUAAUUGCUUCCCAUGGUUUAAAAAAAAAAAAUUAAACUAAAACUCUGCUUUUACCCAGUAUCUAUCUUGGCAUUGGUCUCUACAUGGUACUCUUUUCUAUACAUCACUCCUUUAAUUAAAAGAUGCCUCCCUGUCUCUGCGGGGCACAUCCCCAAGGAGAGAUCAUUUUUGGCUGAGAAGCAUAUUCUGUGCUUUCAUCCUCCUCAAAACCCAGAGUUUGUUUUCCCUCUGUUUGCCAAUCAGCAUGAAACAGCUUCUUUUGCUCUUAGUGCACCGGAAACAAAUACAAGGAGAAGAAAGAAAGCCCGAGGCAAUUUUAGUGUGGGGGAAUGCAGUGCUGAUGCAAAGCUGCAGUAGAUGUAUGCCUUGAUGAGAUGUUAAUGAAUAUACAGUGCACACAAGUAGAGCAGCUCUGAGAGCGUGGAA
This is a long non-coding RNA of Numida meleagris (helmeted guineafowl), 1614 nucleotides long. RefSeq lists it as uncharacterized. The transcript has 3 exons. The record is from RefSeq and is a predicted model, not a curated record. NCBI's taxonomy places the organism in Eukaryota, Metazoa, Chordata, Aves, Galliformes, Numididae.